AGUGAACGCUGGCGGUAGGCCUAACACAUGCAAGUCGAACGGCAGCACAGUAAGAGCUUGCUCUUACGGGUGGCGAGUGGCGGACGGGUGAGGAAUACAUCGGAAUCUACUUUUUCGUGGGGGAUAACAUAGGGAAACUUACGCUAAUACCGCAUACGACCUACGGGUGAAAGCAGGGGAUCUUCGGACCUUGCGCGAUUGAAUGAGCCGAUGUCGGAUUAGCUAGUUGGCGGGGUAAAGGCCCACCAAGGCGACGAUCCGUAGCUGGUCUGAGAGGAUGAUCAGCCACACUGGAACUGAGACACGGUCCAGACUCCUACGGGAGGCAGCAGUGGGGAAUAUUGGACAAUGGGCGCAAGCCUGAUCCAGCCAUACCGCGUGGGUGAAGAAGGCCUUCGGGUUGUAAAGCCCUUUUGUUGGGAAAGAAAGGCAGCAGGUUAAUACCCCGCUGUUCUGACGGUACCCAAAGAAUAAGCACCGGCUAACUUCGUG
RNAcentral lists this ribosomal RNA (492 nucleotides) under uncultured bacterium. Its description in RNAcentral is "partial 16S ribosomal RNA". It matches the Rfam family "Bacterial small subunit ribosomal RNA", at positions 29 to 507 of the family's 1533-position model. The record is from RNAcentral.